GAAUAUUGGACAAUGGGCGGAAGCCUGAUCCAGCCAUGCCGCGUGUGUGAAGAAGGCCUUGUGGUUGUAAAGCACUUUAAGCGAGGAGGAGGAGCUCUUGGUUAAUACCCAAGAUGCUUGGACGUUACUCGCAGACUGAGCACCGGCCAACCCCGGUCCAGCAGCCGCGGUAAUACCGAGGGGGCAAGCGUUAAUCGGAUUUACUGGGCGUAAAGCGCGCGUAGGUGGCCAAUUAAGUCAAAUGUGAAAUCCCCGAGCUUAGCUUGGGAAGUGCAUUCGAUACUGGUUGGCUAGAGUAUGGGAGAGGAUGGUAGAAUUCCAGGUGUAGCGGUGAAAUGCGUAGAGAUCUGGAGGAAUACCGAUGGCGAAGGCAGCCAUCUGGCCUAAUACUGACACUGAGGUGCGAAAGCAUGGGGAGCAAACA
Molecule: ribosomal RNA, 424 nt
Filed under: uncultured bacterium
Lineage: Bacteria
Description: partial 16S ribosomal RNA
Rfam family: Bacterial small subunit ribosomal RNA
Source: RNAcentral